CCUAGGUUUCAGUGUGUCAUUUCAUCUUGUGGAUCUCAUACCUGCUAUUGACAGGUGUUGUGUACUUGUCAAUGACUCGUUCCAUGAUUUGCAAAAUGGCUGACUGGUGCCAUAAAAACCAUUGUUAUGGUUACUCAUGUCUCAUGUGCAUAAUUGACUGAGUGAGUUUAGUUUUACGCCGCA
Long non-coding RNA from Haliotis rubra (blacklip abalone), 183 nucleotides. RefSeq lists it as uncharacterized. Lineage: Eukaryota; Metazoa; Mollusca; Gastropoda; Lepetellida; Haliotidae. The transcript is spliced from 3 exons. The record is from RefSeq and is a predicted model, not a curated record.